UGGAAUUGACCAAUGGGAUAGCCUGAGGACCGGUGCCCUGUCCAAACGAGUUAAUAUACAACUUGGAUGAUAUGAAUCCCGCUUUACAAGGACAAGCGGCUAUCGGAGUGGGGGAUUACAAACCGAUAGAAGGAUGCCCCGGACUGUAUCCUGGAUGGUACAAACCGGAAACGGAAACAAUAAACCUCCAAACGAAAAAGAAUGACAUAAAUACCACCGACGACGAGCGAUAUAAGGAAACGUUAAACGGUUAGGAAGGGAGCUAUACAAUUUAAAGGAUGACCCGUAUGAACAUCACGACUUGUCCCUGUCACACAGCAAUAUUGCGGAGGAGCUGAGUAAGAAAAUAGCUGAAUAUCACAAACAGAUGAUUCCCGCUAAUUUCGCAAAAAACUCUGCAGCUUUCAACCCUGAACAUUUCAAAGGAUAUUGGUCCCCUGGCUGUUGCUAAUGAACAAACAUGUUACUGAGGCAUGAUAUAUCUGAUACUGUUACACAUCUGAAUCUAAAGCAUGUUUAAGGGUCAAUAUCUAAAUCAAGAACAAAUCGUAUACCUGAACAUAAGCCAACUUCCAGCAGUCGGGACAGACUAAACGACAAAACAUGUUCCAUCACCUCAGGCAUUGGCAUACAUCGUGGCAAAACAUUGUGAAGCAUCUUUCAACAGACAUACACCGUGACAAAACGGAACGAAGAAUCUGAAACAACGAAACACACCAUGACCUAAGAAUUUUCGAAUUGUACUAUAUUGUGUAAUAUAUUAGCUUGUUCGUUUUUAUU
Mizuhopecten yessoensis (Yesso scallop) is the source of this 780-nucleotide long non-coding RNA. RefSeq lists it as uncharacterized. The record is from RefSeq and is a predicted model, not a curated record. Lineage: Eukaryota; Metazoa; Mollusca; Bivalvia; Pectinida; Pectinidae. The transcript has 3 exons.